RNAcentral lists this ribosomal RNA (272 nucleotides) under uncultured archaeon. RNAcentral's name for it is "partial 16S ribosomal RNA". It matches the Rfam family "Archaeal small subunit ribosomal RNA", at positions 477 to 747 of the family's 1478-position model. The record is from RNAcentral.
CAGCACCUCAAGUGGUCAGGAUGAUUAUUGGGCCUAAAGCGUCCGUAGCCGGUUUGAUAAAUCUUUUGUGAAAUUGUUAGGCUCAACUUAACAACGUGCAGAAGAGACUGUCGAACUUGGGACUAGAGAGGGGUUAGAAGUAUUUCUAGGGGAGCGGUAAAAUGUUAUAAUCCUAGAAAGACUACCUGUGGCGAAGGCGUCUAACCAGAAUAGAUCCGACGGUGAGGGACGAAAGCUAGGGGAGCGAUCCGGAUUAGAUACCCGCGUAGUCC